CUUUUCAGACCGAGUCGCCUUGUUGUUGUCGUGGAGAUUUUCCUGCUACUGCUGCUGCCGCUGCCACUACCACUGGGCUCAUUUGCCCUGACCCCUUCCCACCGCCCCGCCCCCAGCCCCACACAAGAUGUCAGAGGAUUUAGCAAAGCAGCUGGCAAGCUACAAAGCUCAGCUCCAGCAAGUUGAAGCUGCAUUAUCUGGAAAUGGAGAAAAUGAAGAUUUGCUAAACUUGAAGAAAGAUUUACAAGAAGUUAUAGAACUAACCAAAGACCUUCUGUCAACUCAACCUUCUGAGAUGCUUGCAAGUUCAGACAGUUUUGCUUCUACUCAACCUACUCAUUCAUGGAAAGUAGGAGACAAGUGUAUGGCAAUCUGGAGUGAAGAUGGAUAGUGUUAUGAAGCGGAGAUUGAAGAGAUAGAUGAAGAAAAUGGCACCGCUGCAAUCACUUUUGCUGGUUAUGGCAAUGCUGAAGUGACUUCACUGUUGAACCUCAAGCCUGUAGAAGAAGGAAGGAAGGCAAAGGAGGACAGUGGUAACAAACCCGUGUCAAAAAAAGAAAUGAUUGCCCAGCAGCAUGAAUAUAAAAAGAAGAAGGCUUUGAAAAAAGCUCAGAGAAUGAAAGAACUUGAGCAGGAAAGAGAGGACCAGAAAAUGAAAUGGCAACAAUUCAACAACAGAGCCUAUUCCAAAAGCAAAAAAGGCCAGGCAAAGAGGAGUAUUUUUGCUUCACCUGAGAGUGUGACUGGCAAAGUUGGAGUAGGAACUUGUGGAAUUGCCGAUAAACCUAUGACACAAUAUCAAGAUACCUCUAUAUAUAAUGUCAGGCAUUUGAUGCCUCAAUAAUCAGAAAACCUGUUGGAUUUCAUCUCUGCAGGGCUUUACAUUUACCUUUU
This is an RNA transcript of Mandrillus leucophaeus (drill), 894 nucleotides long. It is a transcript of the gene named survival of motor neuron-related-splicing factor 30 pseudogene, with no coding region annotated. Lineage: Eukaryota; Metazoa; Chordata; Mammalia; Primates; Cercopithecidae. The record is from RefSeq and is a predicted model, not a curated record. The transcript has a single exon.